Molecule: ribosomal RNA, 433 nt
Filed under: uncultured bacterium
Lineage: Bacteria
Description: partial 16S ribosomal RNA
Rfam family: Bacterial small subunit ribosomal RNA
Source: RNAcentral
GCGAACGCUGGCGGCAGGCCUAACACCUGCAAGUCGAACGAACCUUUCGGGGUUAGUGGCGGACGGGUGAGUAACACGUGGGAACGUGCCUUUAGGUUCGGAAUAACUCAGGGAAACUUGUGCUAAUACCGAAUGUGCCCUUCGGGGGAAAGAUUUAUCGCCUUUAGAGCGGCCCGCGUCUGAUUAGCUAGUUGGUUGAGGUAAUGGCUCACCAAGGCGACGAUCAGUAGCUGGUCUGAGAGGAUGAUCAGCCACAUUGGGACUGAGACACGGCCCAAACUCCUACGGGAGGCAGCAGUGGGGAAUCUUGCGCAAUGGGCGAAAGCCUGACGCAGCCAUGCCGCGUGAAUGAUGAAGGUCUUAGGAUUGUAAAAUUCUUUCACCGGGGACGAUAAUGACGGUACCCGGAGAAGAAGCCCCGGCUAACUUCGUG